UCCCGUGUGGCUCAGUUGGUAGAGCAUGGUGUUUGCAAUGCCAAGGUUGUGAGUUUGAUUCCCACGGGGG
This 70-nucleotide transfer RNA is filed under the name Salmo salar (Atlantic salmon). It matches the Rfam family "tRNA". From Rfam's summary of the family: Transfer RNA (tRNA) molecules are approximately 80 nucleotides in length. Their secondary structure includes four short double-helical elements and three loops (D, anti-codon, and T loops). Lineage: Eukaryota; Metazoa; Chordata; Actinopteri; Salmoniformes; Salmonidae. The record is from Rfam by way of RNAcentral.